Molecule: small nuclear RNA, 101 nt
Organism: Raphanus sativus (radish)
Lineage: Eukaryota; Viridiplantae; Streptophyta; Magnoliopsida; Brassicales; Brassicaceae
Source: RefSeq, a predicted model, not a curated record
AUCUCUUCGGGGACAUCUAUUAAUAUUGGAACAACAUAGAGAAGAUUAGCAUGAUCCCUGCGAAAAAUAGUUACUAUUGUUAAAAAAUAUAUCAAUUGGCA